RNAcentral lists this ribosomal RNA (103 nucleotides) under Chrysemys picta bellii (western painted turtle). The record is from RNAcentral. Lineage: Eukaryota; Metazoa; Chordata; Testudines; Emydidae.
UGUCGUGUUCCCCCCACCUCCCGUUGGAUCCUGUAAGCUAAGGAGGGUCAGGUCUGGUUAGUACUUGGAUGGGGGACCACCAAGGAACACCUAAGUUCUAUAC